AGCCCCUCCUAUGGCAUCUCCUUCAGGAUCUGUGGGUCCCUGAGUUGUGGAAAGCCGCCCAGCCUUCUGAGCUGGGGGCCCGCAGGGUUAGCUCUGGUUGCUCUGGGCACUUGUGGGAGAGCAGGGUCAGAGCGGAGGGCAGCAGUUGGGGGCUGAAUGAUGGUGCCCACUCCUGCACACCCCGCGGUGGGCGAGGCCGCCCCUGCCUCCCUCUCCAAGGAGCCGACCACGAAGUCCGAGAAGCAGAGAGGGGAGAUGGGGAGGGAAUGGCAGUGGGGCUGCAGGGCACGCUCGGGUCAGCACUAACCGCUGGUGUAAAGGGACGAGUGGCCACUUCUGGCGGAACAACAGGCGGCGGUGGAAGGCAGCGCUCAGGCCGUCAGCGGGCCUGCGGGGGACGCACUCACCGAGGACCAGCAGCACUUUCCAGCUAGGCGCCCGAUGCGCACGGCAGAGCUCAGGGUCCGGCAGCGCCUCAAAGGCCUGCACCCGGGGCUCUGGCCCCGCCCGAGUACACGUGCGCGUCAGGCCCCGCCCCCAGGCGCCCUGGCCCCGCCCCUCGCUCAACCACCGCGCUUCCCGUGGACCCUGAUGCGGUGAUCUCAGGAGACCCCCAGCUGCUGCGGUUCCUGGCUGAGUGAGGCCAGGCCCUCAGGCUCCAGCAUGGCCCUGCAAGACCACUGCUGCACCCCUGCGGCUGUGCAGAGGAGGCUGCCCAUCCUGGCCUGGCGGUUGGACUCUGAAGAUGGACUUCAUCACUGGACUUUCAGUGGGGCUCAAGGUCAUUCCCCACGCACUGGCCUGUGCUGAGGUGACCUGACUCCUGCCCCAGUGUGGCUUCUACUCUGCCUUCAUGGGUGCUUCGUGUAGUUCUUCCUGGUCACCUUCUGGCAUGUUACCCUGAGCCCGCCUGUGCUGUGCUACUGGCUUUCCUGUGGGGCUGCAUGCAGUUAGCCAUGGGGUCCCUGUGCUUGGGGUUCCUGCUGUACUUCGUCUCCUGUGCCAUCAUUAAAGGUUUCACCUCUGCUGCUACCAUCACCGUGGACUUCGGGCAGAUCCAGGCUGGCCUGUGCAGUCUUCCCUGAUGGAGGGCAGUGAGCAGAUCAAGGCCAGGAGGAGGCGUGUGUGAGAAUCCAGCAGCUGACAUGUCUUCCCUCUCACUCUGUUCUGGGGCUGGAUCCACACUUUCCCUGUGCUUCCUUCUCGCCACACCCCUGGGAGGGAGGUUUAUCAUCAUCUGCAUUUAGAGAGGAGGAAACCCCUUAGAAAGUUUGAUCCUGAAGGCAUCUGUCACUUCUGGAAUCCACUACAACGACGAGGAGGAGAGUCACUUCAAUGCCUAUGAAAUGGAACCUUCAGGAGUUUUUAGUUAUAAAUCUUGGAAUCUGGAAGAUUCAAUUCAUGAUUGCAAAAUAUUUAUUUCCUAAUAUUUUGUUUUGUCAUAAACUGAUGCUUUUGAAAGAGAUCUCAUUA
This 1473-nucleotide long non-coding RNA is filed under the name Equus caballus (horse). RNAcentral's name for it is "lncRNA (ENSECAG00000047236.1)". The record is from RNAcentral. Lineage: Eukaryota; Metazoa; Chordata; Mammalia; Perissodactyla; Equidae.